AGUGAACGCUGGCGGUAGGCCUAACACAUGCAAGUCGAGCGGAAGAACGGUACUUGCUUGCGGUUACGGCUGGCGACUGGCGGGCUAUGGCGGAAUACAUCCGAGUUUGUUUUUUCGUGCGGCAUGACGCAGGCGAACUUACCGCAUACGCGCAUACGACCUACGUGUGGAAUCUUCGGACCUUACGAUCUUACGUGAUUGUAUGACGCGAUGUCGGAUUAGCUAGUUGGCGAGGUAAAGGCCCACCAAGGCGACGAUCCGUAGCUGGUCUGAGAGGAUGAUCAGUCACACUGGAACUGAGACACGGUCCAGACUCCUACGGGAGGCAGCAGUGGGGAAUAUUGGACAAUGGGCGCAAGCCUGAUCCAGCCAUACCGCGUGGGUGAAGAAGGUCUUCGGGUUGUAAAGCCCUUUUGUUGGGGAAGAAAAGCAGUAGGUUAAUACCCCGCUGUUUUGACGGUACCAACAGAAUAAGCACCGGCUAACUUCGUG
This 492-nucleotide ribosomal RNA is filed under the name uncultured bacterium. RNAcentral's name for it is "partial 16S ribosomal RNA". It matches the Rfam family "Bacterial small subunit ribosomal RNA", at positions 29 to 507 of the family's 1533-position model. The record is from RNAcentral.